Phyllopteryx taeniolatus (common seadragon) is the source of this 711-nucleotide long non-coding RNA. RefSeq lists it as uncharacterized. NCBI's taxonomy places the organism in Eukaryota, Metazoa, Chordata, Actinopteri, Syngnathiformes, Syngnathidae. The record is from RefSeq and is a predicted model, not a curated record. The transcript is spliced from 5 exons.
GCUACUACUACUUCUAAUGAUAACUAAUUGUAAUGUAAUAGAUCAGUGACGUUAGGUAGAAGCUCUGGCCUGCAUUUACACCCUAAAUUCCAGUAUCUGUUCCGUGAACUUGUAUUGUAUUGAGUCGAAACUUCCGUAUUCGGCAAAACAGGUCAAUGCACUUCCUUCCGAUGCUGAUGACUGGCGGAGCCCUAUGAACACAUGAAAACCUGGCAGUACAAAAUCUACAUUAGUAACCAUCAUAAGAGCUGCCGUGCAAGAUCACUGAUGGUGAAGUGGUCCAUUCGCCCACCUUCGGUGCAGGUCCUGGAGCUCACGCAUGGCUCUAAUGCACAGUGCUGAGAAUGAUGGUGAUUAUGGAACUUCGGAACAUCCCCAAAGCGUACCUUGCAGCGGGGCGCUCUCCAUCGCCCUCUCCAAGGACUCCAAAAGGGGUGGGUACUCUGAACUGCUGUUUGGUGCAUAGGCACAAACAACAGUCAGGACCCAUCCCCCCACCCAAAGGCAGAGAGAGACUACCCUCUCGUCCACCGGGGUGAACCCCAAUGUACAGGUGCAGAGCCGGGAGGCAAGCCACCUGCUGCGCCAGUCUAUCCAGAGUAGAUGCAACAUGCGCCUUUUGACGGUCAAUUUUAUCUUCGAUCUUCAGGAGAGUACAGGCCACGGCAAGAAAUCAAUGAAAUUCUACUUCUUUACCACCUAAUUCUGAUG